RNAcentral lists this long non-coding RNA (323 nucleotides) under Malus domestica (apple). RNAcentral describes it as "long non-coding RNA (MDOM_LNC013536)". The record is from RNAcentral. Lineage: Eukaryota; Viridiplantae; Streptophyta; Magnoliopsida; Rosales; Rosaceae.
AUCUAUCAAAUUUCUGCAACCUUUGCUCUUCUCCAGUGGAGCUGAAUUUUGGACACCCUAUAGUUAUUGAGCAGAUGAACAACUUUCAAGAAGGAAUCGUUUCUGUUUGAGCGACGGAAAUUAAAGUGUUGAGGCUCCAAACACAACAGUCGGAUUCCCGCAAAUUUAAAGACUGCUGUGAUGUUUCGAAGAUCUGGAAAUAUUUAACCGUUAGUUCAUUCUGAAUUUUUGAUAUGUCAUGAAAGAGAUGAUAAGGAACAACUUCGAUGAAGAAAGUAUGUUGAUCUGAACAAGAGAAAAUGGAGUUUCGAAGCUCACAACAA